Molecule: ribosomal RNA, 492 nt
Filed under: uncultured bacterium
Lineage: Bacteria
Description: partial 16S ribosomal RNA
Rfam family: Bacterial small subunit ribosomal RNA
Source: RNAcentral
AGUGAACGCUGGCGGUAGGCCUAACACAUGCAAGUCGAACGGCAGCACAGUAAGAGCUUGCUCUUACGGGUGGCGAGUGGCGGACGGGUGAGGAAUACAUCGGAAUCUACUUUUUCGUGGGGGAUAACGUAGGGAAACUUACGCUAAUACCGCAUACGACCUACGGGUGAAAGCAGGGGAUCUUCGGACCUUGCGCGAUUGAAUGAGCCGAUGUCGGAUUAGCUAGUUGGCGGGGUAACGGCCCACCAAGGCGACGAUCCGUAGCUGGUCUGAGAGGAUGAUCAGCCACACUGGAACUGAGACACGGUCCAGACGCCUACGGGAGGCAGCAGUGGGGAAUAUUGGACAAUGGGCGCAAGCCUGAUCCAGCCAUACCGCGUGGGUGAAGAAGGCCUUCGGGUUGUAAAGCCCUUUUGUUGGGAAAGAAAAGCAGCAGGUUAAUACCCCGCUGUUCUGACGGUACCCAAAGAAUAAGCACCGGCUAACUUCGUG